This 502-nucleotide ribosomal RNA is filed under the name uncultured bacterium. RNAcentral describes it as "partial 16S ribosomal RNA". It matches the Rfam family "Bacterial small subunit ribosomal RNA", at positions 29 to 523 of the family's 1533-position model. The record is from RNAcentral.
AUUGAACGCUGGCGGCGUGCCUAACACAUGCAAGUCGAGCGGUAACAGGUGUAGCAAUACAUGCUGACGAGCGGCGAACGGGUGAGUAAUGCUUCGGAAUCUACCUUAUGGAGGGGAAUAACUAGCAGAAAGGUUAGCUAAUACCGCAUACGUCCUACGGCAGAAAGCAGGGGAACGCAAGACCUUGCGCAAAAAGAUGAGCCGAAGUCGGAUUAGCUAGUUGGUAGGGUAACGGCCUACCAAGGCGACGAUCCGUAGCUGGUCUGAGAGGACGACCAGGUAGAGGGGGUGAGAGGCACGGCGCAGACUCCUAGGGGGGGAAGCGGUGGGAAAUAUUGGACAAGGGGGGAAAUCCUGAUCCGGCGACGCCGCGUGUGUGACGAAGGCCUGCGGGUUGUAAAGCACUUUUAGUGGGGAGGAAAUAUGCAGGGUUAAUACCUCUGCAUUUUGACCUAACCCACAGAAAAAGCACCGGCUAACUCUGUGCCAGCCGCCGCCGUAA